Long non-coding RNA from Apis cerana (Asiatic honeybee), 1972 nucleotides. RefSeq lists it as uncharacterized. NCBI's taxonomy places the organism in Eukaryota, Metazoa, Arthropoda, Insecta, Hymenoptera, Apidae. The record is from RefSeq and is a predicted model, not a curated record.
UUGAAUAUUGCACAAAUGUAAUAAUUGAACUGAUGUUAAUAUCCUAAGAAUCUAUUGUUGUAGAACAUAUUAUAUUACUAUAUAAUAAUUAUAUUAUAUUAUUAUAUUUAAUUAUAUUAUAUAAAAAUGUUGUUAAAUAUGCAAAAUACAAAUAUCCUAUGAAAAGAUAGGAGAAAUAUUGUGCGAAAGAAUAUCGAAAGAAUUAUAUUUCUCCUAAUUCUCAUAUUUCCCAGGAAUCUCAUGAUUCUUGAUAUAAAUAUGUGAUUAGAAUAUAUUAAAGUUUACGUCAAAUUUUAUUUAUGACAGAAACAAAUAUAUUAAUGAAUGUUACACCAGAAUAAUAGUAUGAAUUUUCGAAAGUAACUAUUACGUUCAUGUUUAUGAUUAAAGGAGCAAAUGGGAUAUAAAUUCAGAUAAAUAAUAACUUUAUCGAUUAUUCAAUCGAUUGAAUUUGUUGUAAAAAUAUAUUAUAUUCGUAGAGAUGUUAAUUUUAACAUGAAAUCUAGAUAUCAGUUAAUAAAUUUAAUCAACAGAGUUAAUUAAUAAUUAAUUAACAGAGUUAACUAAGUUUAUUAAUAAUGAGAUAAAUAAAACAAAUAUGAAAGCGAAUAGUGAAAUCGAUAAGAAUAAAUCGAUAUCGCUAUUAAAGAAAACAAAAAAUCUUCGACUGAUUCAAUAAAAUUCUUAUCUGUUUUGUGGAAGAUAUUCGGUAUCAAUGAUAAUUGAACUGAUGCUAGCACCCUAAGAAUCAAUCGUUCAUCGUGAAAUAAUAGAAAUAUUCCUUGCUGUUUGCGAUUCACAAAUAAUCUAUGAAGUAGAAGAUUCAAAUAAAUGGAUAUCUACAAUCAAUGAAGAACUUAAAUCUCUUGAAGAAAAUGAAAUAUGAGUUCUAGUUCCGAAAUCAAAUAAUGUUAAUAUUAUUUCCUAUCGCUGAAUUUUCAAAAGAAAAUAUAAAAUAAUAAGACAAUUUGAUAAGACAAUCAAACUCAUCAUGAAAGACUAUGUAGAAAAAGAUUAUAAAGAAACAUUUUCUGCAGUCGUGAAAUAUGAUAUUAUUAGAUUGAUGUUUUCACUGCUGUAGAUAGAUCUAAAAAUGAUAUAACAUAAAAAUUGCAUUUCUGUAUGGUAAUUUAAGAGAAACUAUUUAUAUAUAACAACUAAUUGAUUUCGAAUAUGUUUGUGUAUUACGAAAAAACUUACACGAAAUAAAAAAAAGUGCAAAACAGUGAAAUAAAAGAAUUAAUGAAUUUAUAUGCAACAUAAAUAUCAGAAAGAACAUCACUUGGAUGUAAUAAUGGAUAAUGGAUUUAUCAUUUAAACAAUAGUUUUGUACUGUGAUUAUUAUGUAAAUAAUCAACGAUUGCUAUAUCAAUUGAGAUAGAAUUUUAAUAGUUUUGUAUUUGGUAAUAAAAAAAGUAAUAUGGUUGAAAUGAAUUCUUGCAGAGUUUAAUUGCUUUUAAAAUUUGCCAACAUCGAUUUAUUGUGAUAAUUAUUUUUAAUUAUAUAAUUAUUUUGGUAAAAAAUCCAUAUUCGUGUAAAAGAACUAAACAUAUAAAUACAUAAUAUUAUUUUUCUUAUUCUAAAUAAAUUUAGAAUAAAUGAAAUAGAUAUUAGAUAUAUUAAAAUUGAUACAUAAUUAAUAUAUCCGUUUAUAGAAGUAUUACCAAAACAAAAAUUUCAGAAUUUAUCUCAGAAUAAUAUUAAAAAAAUAUAGAUAUGACAGGAAUAUAAUUUUAAAAUUAUAAUUAAAGAAGAAAUUGUUCAUCGAAUUGAGUUUAUAUGUAUAAAAAUGCAAUAUGCAAAUCUUGCAUAUUUACGUGUCAUUAGACCGUGAUUGCUAUUCCUUUUUGAAUUGCUGUAAAACGAUGUGAUAUAGUGAGCUCAGUAAAAUAAAUACAUCGGCACAACCCACAUCUAUAUAAUGUAGUUUAUUCUUAUUUCUUUUAUUAAAUGUAUUCUUUUUUUAUUUUAA